AUGGAGCAACCCAAGGCAGGAGACGGCGCUCCGCAGCAGCGCCAGAAGAAAUCCUCCGCUGCCAAGAAGGCGAAGAAGGGCGACAGCGGCGGGGCACGGCCAGCGAUAAAGCCCAAGAAGGACCUCCAGGUCAAUCGCCUCAAUGGCUCCCAGCUCCUCACCGUAAGCCAAUCAAUCCCCCUUUUGGAUUUGACCGCAAUUAGCAUAGGGACCUUGCCACAUGCCCGCAUCUAG
RNAcentral lists this ribosomal RNA (234 nucleotides) under Triticum aestivum (bread wheat). RNAcentral's name for it is "partial small subunit ribosomal RNA". Lineage: Eukaryota; Viridiplantae; Streptophyta; Magnoliopsida; Poales; Poaceae. The record is from RNAcentral.